RNAcentral lists this ribosomal RNA (376 nucleotides) under uncultured bacterium. RNAcentral's name for it is "bacterial SSU rRNA". It matches the Rfam family "Bacterial small subunit ribosomal RNA", at positions 524 to 898 of the family's 1533-position model. The record is from RNAcentral.
UACGUAGGAGGCGAGCGUUAUCCGGAUUUAUUGGGCGUAAAGCGCGUGCAGGUGGUUUGGUAAGUUGGGUAUGAAAUCUCUUGGCUUAACUAAGAGAGGUUGCUCAAAACUACCAGACUAGAGGACGAUAGAGGAAGGUGGAAUUCCCGGUGUAGUAGUGAAAUGCGUAGAUAUCGGGAGGAACACCAGUGGCGAAGGCGGCCUUCUGGGUCGUUCCUGACACUAAGACGCGAAAGUAUGGGGAGCAAACGGGAUUAGAAACCCCGGUAGUCCAUACCGUAAACGAUGUGAACUUGAUGUCGGUAGCGUAAUAGUUAUCGGUGUCGUAGUUAACGCGAUAAGUUCACCGCCUGGGGAGUACGAUCGCAAGGUUAAA